This 253-nucleotide ribosomal RNA is filed under the name uncultured bacterium. RNAcentral's name for it is "partial 16S ribosomal RNA". It matches the Rfam family "Bacterial small subunit ribosomal RNA", at positions 524 to 776 of the family's 1533-position model. The record is from RNAcentral.
GACGAACCGUCCAAACGUUAUUCGGAAUCACUGGGCUUACAGAGUUCGUAGGCGGUCUGGGAAGUUGGGUGUGAAAUCCCUCGGCUUAACCGAGGAACUGCGCUUGAAACUGCCAGACUCGAGGGAGAUAGAGGAAAGCGGAACUGAUGGUGGAGCGGUGAAAUGCGCAGAUAUCAGGAGGAACACCGGUGGCGAAGGCGGGUCUCUGGGCCGAAACUGACGCUGAGGAGCGAAAGCGUGGGGAGCAAACAGG